RNAcentral lists this ribosomal RNA (193 nucleotides) under uncultured Actinomycetales bacterium. Its description in RNAcentral is "partial 16S ribosomal RNA". It matches the Rfam family "Bacterial small subunit ribosomal RNA", at positions 140 to 334 of the family's 1533-position model. The record is from RNAcentral. Lineage: Bacteria; Bacillati; Actinomycetota; Actinomycetes; Actinomycetales.
GGGAUAACUUCAGGAAACUGGGGCUAAUACCGGAUAGGAGCUCCUGCUGCAUGGUGGGGGUUGGAAAGUUUCGGCGGUUGGGGAUGGACUCGCGGCUUAUCAGCUUGUUGGUGGGGUAGUGGCUUACCAAGGCUUUGACGGGUAGCCGGCCUGAGAGGGUGACCGGCCACAUUGGGACUGAGAUACGGCCCAG